Molecule: long non-coding RNA, 647 nt
Organism: Capsicum annuum
Lineage: Eukaryota; Viridiplantae; Streptophyta; Magnoliopsida; Solanales; Solanaceae
Exons: 2
Source: RefSeq, a predicted model, not a curated record
AAAGCAUGUUACGGUUCUUUUUUCUUUCUGUUAGCUCUCAAUUAACCUUAAACUUUCUUCCUCUUAUUCAGGUGAUCAAGAUUAGAGGAAUGAUGAAGCUAAGCCGCCAGGUCACUUACGUUGGCCGCACAUGCUAGCAGAUCAGCUGCGUGGCCUAAGUUUGAGAGAAAUUGGUGGUGGAUUUUCUAAGCACCAUCUAUUCGUGCGGCAUGUUAUGUCAUUGCAAAACCAUCCACUAUGGUGCAGAAAUACAAAAUUUUUAAAAAGUUUGAGGACAUCGAAUGCAGUUUAUUGUGUUGUAUCGUCUCUCGCUCCUGUGGCCAUAUAUAUGACAAGGACGAAGCCAUCAUUGACAUGAGAAUCGUCCAUUCAAGUGGCAAGAAGCUAAGCACGAAGUACUUGAUCGUAUGAAAGGAUUUGCCAGCGAGAAAAGCUACUAGGGAGAAAGAAAGAUACUUGUAAAAAUUACAAGACGACAAACAUACAUGACGAAUAUUUGCGCCGAGGAUGUCACAACAAUAGGUGGGGGAGUGUGUCACAACCCAACAUAUAUAGCUUGUGGUGAACUUUGAAUCCAGUUAAAGUUGUGUAAGUUUGUUUUUGAAAUCACUGAUAGAUCAUAUUUAUGGUAUUCGAAUUGAUUGCGA